This 497-nucleotide ribosomal RNA is filed under the name uncultured bacterium. RNAcentral's name for it is "partial 16S ribosomal RNA". It matches the Rfam family "Bacterial small subunit ribosomal RNA", at positions 28 to 507 of the family's 1533-position model. The record is from RNAcentral.
GACGAACGCUGGCGGCGUGCCUAAUACAUGCAAGUUGAGCGAUGAAGAUUGGUGCUUGCACCAAUUUGAAGAGCAGCGAACGGGUGAGUAACGCGUGGGGAAUCUGCCUUUGAGCGGGGGACAACAUUUGGAAACGAAUGCUAAUACCGCAUAAUAACUUUAAACAUAAGUUUUAAGUUUGAAAGAUGCAAUUGCAUCACUCAAAGAUGAUCCCGCGUUGUAUUAGCUAGUUGGUGAGGUAAAGGCUCACCAAGGCGAUGAUACAUAGCCGACCUGAGAGGGGGGUCGGCCACAUUGGGACUGAGACACGGCCCAAACUCCUACGGGAGGCAGCAGUAGGGAAUCUUCGGCAAUGGACGAAAGUCUGACCGAGCAACGCCGCGUGAGUGAAGAAGGUUGUCGGAUCGUAAAACUCUGUUGGUAGAGAAGAACGUUGGUGAGAGUGGAAAGCUCAUCAAGUGACGGUAACUACCCAGAAAGGGACGGCUAACUACGUG